This 483-nucleotide ribosomal RNA is filed under the name uncultured bacterium. RNAcentral describes it as "partial 16S ribosomal RNA". It matches the Rfam family "Bacterial small subunit ribosomal RNA", at positions 30 to 506 of the family's 1533-position model. The record is from RNAcentral.
AUUGAACGCUGGCGGCAGGCCUAACACAUGCAAGUCGAGCGGAUGAAGGGAGCUUGCUCCUGGAUUCAGCGGCGGACGGGUGAGUAAUGCCUAGGAAUCUGCCUGGUAGUGGGGGAUAACGUCCGGAAACGGGCGCUAAUACCGCAUACGUCCUGAGGGAGAAAGUGGGGGAUCUUCGGACCUCACGCUAUCAGAUGAGCCUAGGUCGGAUUAGCUAGUUGGUGGGGUAAAGGCCUACCAAGGCGACGAUCCGUAACUGGUCUGAGAGGAUGAUCAGUCACACUGGAACUGAGACACGGUCCAGACUCCUACGGGAGGCAGCAGUGGGGAAUAUUGGACAAUGGGCGAAAGCCUGAUCCAGCCAUGCCGCGUGUGUGAAGAAGGUCUUCGGAUGGUAAAGCACUUUAAGUUGGGAGGAAGGGCAGUAAGUUAAUACCUUGCUGUUUUGACGUUACCAACAGAAUAAGCACCGGCUAACUUCGU